GAUGGGAGCUUGCUCCCUGAUGUUAGCGGCGGACGGGUGAGUAACACGUGGGUAACCUGCCUGUAAGACUGGGAUAACUCCGGGAAACCGGGGCUAAUACCGGAUGCUUGAUUGAACCGCAUGGUUCAAUUAUAAAAGGUGGCUUUUAGCUACCACUUACAGAUGGACCCGCGGCGCAUUAGCUAGUUGGUGAGGUAACGGCUCACCAAGGCAACGAUGCGUAGCCGACCUGAGAGGGUGAUCGGCCACACUGGGACUGAGACACGGCCCAGACUCCUACGGGAGGCAGCAGUAGGGAAUCUUCCGCAAUGGACGAAAGUCUGACGGAGCAACGCCGCGUGAGUGAUGAAGGUUUUCGGAUCGUAAAACUCUGUUGUUAGGGAAGAACAAGUACCGUUCGAAUAGGGCGGUACCUUGACGGUACCUAACCAGAAAGCCACGGCUAACUACGUGCCAGCAGCCGCGGUAAUACGUAGGUGGCAAGCGUUGUCCGGAAUUAUUGGGCGUAAAGCGCGCGCAGGCGGUUUCUUAAGUCUGAUGUGAAAGCCCCCGGCUCAACCGGGGAGGGUCAUUGGAAACUGGGGAACUUGAGUGCAGAAGAGGAGAGUGGAAUUCCACGUGUAGCGGUGAAAUGCGUAGAGAUGUGGAGGAACACCAGUGGCGAAGGCGACUCUCUGGUCUGUAACUGACGCUGAGGCGCGAAAGCGUGGGGAGCGAACAGGAUUAGAUACCCUGGUAGUCCACGCCGUAAACGAUGAGUGCUAAGUGUUAGAGGGUUUCCGCCCUUUAGUGCUGCAGCAAACGCAUUAAGCACUCCGCCUGGGGAGUACGGUCGCAAGACUGAAACUCAAAGGAAUUGACGGGGGCCCGCACAAGCGGUGGAGCAUGUGGUUUAAUUCGAAGCAACGCGAAGAACCUUACCAGGUCUUGACAUCCUCUGACAACCCUAGAGAUAGGGCUUCCCCUUCGGGGGCAGAGUGACAGGUGGUGCAUGGUUGUCGUCAGCUCGUGUCGUGAGAUGUUGGGUUAAGUCCCGCAACGAGCGCAACCCUUGAUCUUAGUUGCCAGCAUUCAGUUGGGCACUCUAAGGUGACUGCCGGUGACAAACCGGAGGAAGGUGGGGAUGACGUCAAAUCAUCAUGCCCCUUAUGACCUGGGCUACACACGUGCUACAAUGGGCAGAACAAAGGGCAGCGAAGCCGCGAGGCUAAGCCAAU
RNAcentral lists this ribosomal RNA (1217 nucleotides) under Bacillus sp. (in: firmicutes). RNAcentral's name for it is "bacterial SSU rRNA". It matches the Rfam family "Bacterial small subunit ribosomal RNA", at positions 71 to 1272 of the family's 1533-position model. Lineage: Bacteria; Bacillati; Bacillota; Bacilli; Caryophanales; Bacillaceae. The record is from RNAcentral.